UUGCGUAUACGUUUCUCUUGCGAAUGACUUCAAGAAUCGAGCCACUGGCCUAAGUCGUCUUUUAGUCGUCUUUUCGUCGACUAUAAGCUCUACCUAAAAGAUGUUCAUGAUGAAAAUUUGUCAUCUUUUAGUUGUCUGUUAGACGUCUUUGUGCUGUCCGGGUGGAUUCCUUUGUUUUUACUGACUUUUCGAUCUUCGAAGCAAGAGGCUGUUGGAGCGACGCCGGCAGAAAUGUAUUCUGGUCAGGACCUUCGUCUGCUUUUGGAUCUUUUUAGGGGUUGUUCACCUUUAAAAGUGGAAGAGGAGGGAGAAGAUACGUUCGAGUUGGGAGUACUGGGACUGCGUUUCUCACGGUUUUUGACCGUGGUUUUUCCGUAGGACAUAGGGCGAAUGCCGAGACAGGGGACAGGGAGCUUAAAGAGCGUAGAGUCCACGGAAGCUAAUUUCCUCCUCCGUGAUCCCAAAGAAAGAAGAAAGAAGCGCUCAAGACCCGGCGCAAGGGGGAGCAUCCCAGAUGCGCCCAGAUCGAAACAGCAGGACACCACCAAUCAGAUUGCUGAGUUAGUUAAAGUUGGGAUAAAUUUAUAGAAUUUGAUUGAUGGUAUUUCGAUCUGUGCGCAUCUGGGACUCGCGCAAAAAAGCAAGAAGCGUUCAAGGCUCAAGAUGCAAGAGCACAGGCAGCGGAAACUGGAAUCGGGCGCGCGAAUCUCCGUGCGGUCUGGCCAGCUCUUCGCGGGAGAAUGUUCGAGGGGAUCUAGUUGGAGGGAGACUUUUGUGGCCCGGUAACCCGUUGCAGCAGCACAGGGAGGGCAACAAAUCGUAGGACCCUGUGAAACCUUCUUUGAAGAACGCGACAAACUGCCUCUCGGAACCAUGGUGGACGUAUAAAAGGUGAGGGGGAUAAUGAAUUUGGGGAAUAAUAAAAGUAUAUUUUUAUAAUAUACAUGGUUUAUUCUAUCAAAAUAAUCCUUUUUCAGGCCUAUCAUUUGGUUUUAGAAAAUUUAAAUGAGUAGAUAAAUAAGAGAUUAAGUGGUCUAUAUUUAGGGUAUGAGCCUAAUAGCUUAUGUUAGCUUACUUAUUUUAUUAUUUUUAUUUUAUGUAUUUAAAAAAAUUAGUUUUUAAGUAUUAUAUAUUUGUAUGUGAUAGGGGGAAAAUUAAAGGGAGGUUUUGAUUAAUAGAUUGAUUAAAUUUUAGUUUAAUAAAAAUAAUUCAUUUACAUUGAGAUUUUAAAGGAAAUUAAAAAAUUUCCUUUAAAAUUGCGCAUAAUGGCGGCAUGUGGAGUGGAACCGAAAUUUCAACCAAUCAGAUUUUACCCAUUUAGAAACGCGCGUAUUUAAAACGUAAA
Long non-coding RNA from Monomorium pharaonis (pharaoh ant), 1345 nucleotides. RefSeq lists it as uncharacterized. The record is from RefSeq and is a predicted model, not a curated record. The transcript has 2 exons. Lineage: Eukaryota; Metazoa; Arthropoda; Insecta; Hymenoptera; Formicidae.